This 253-nucleotide ribosomal RNA is filed under the name uncultured bacterium. Its description in RNAcentral is "partial 16S ribosomal RNA". It matches the Rfam family "Bacterial small subunit ribosomal RNA", at positions 524 to 776 of the family's 1533-position model. The record is from RNAcentral.
UACGAAGGAUCCAAGCGUUAUCCGGAUUUAUUGGGUUUAAAGGGUGCGUAGGCGGCGCGGUAAGUCGGGUGUGAAAUCUCGGAGCUUAACUCCGAAACUGCAUUCGAUACUGCCGUGCUUGAGGACUGGAGAGGAGACUGGAAUUUACGGUGUAGCGGUGAAAUGCGUAGAUAUCGUAAGGAAGACCAGUGGCGAAGGCGGGUCUCUGGACAGUUCCUGACGCUGAGGCACGAAGGUCAGGGGAGCAAACGGG